UGCUGAUUGGCCUUCGUCUCCCCUCUGCCCAGGGAUCUCGGGAACCGGGGGAGAUGUUGCCACGGAAGCUGAAGCG
Molecule: small nucleolar RNA, 76 nt
Organism: Peromyscus maniculatus bairdii (prairie deer mouse)
Lineage: Eukaryota; Metazoa; Chordata; Mammalia; Rodentia; Cricetidae
Product: predicted gene, 22394
Source: Ensembl